GACGAACGCUGGCGGCGUGCUUAAUACAUGCAAGUCGAACGGACAGGCUCCAGCUUUCUUGGUCACACGAGUGGCGAACGGGUGAGUAACACGUGGGUGACCUGCCCUUCUCUGCGGGAUAAACCUUGGAAACUGGGGCGAAUACCGGAUAGGAUCAUUUGAAGGGUAUUGUGGAGUAAAGAAUUUUCGGUUUGGGAUCGCUGCUCGGUCGAUCCGCUCCGUGGUGGAUUAUUGGUAUACUAACGGCGUGACGGGUAGCCGGCCUGUGAGGGUGGACGGCCACAUUGGGACUGAGAGACGGCCCAGAAGCCUACGGGAGGCAGCAGUGGGGAAUAUUGCACAAUGGGCGGAAGCCUGAUGCAGCGACGCCGCGUGCGGGAUGACGGCCUUCGGGUUGUAAACUCCUUUCUCCAUCGACGAAGGGUUUCUGACGGUAGAUGGUGAAGAAGCACCGGCUAACUACGUG
RNAcentral lists this ribosomal RNA (466 nucleotides) under uncultured bacterium. RNAcentral describes it as "partial 16S ribosomal RNA". It matches the Rfam family "Bacterial small subunit ribosomal RNA", at positions 28 to 507 of the family's 1533-position model. The record is from RNAcentral.